CAGCAGCCGCGGGAAUACGAAGGGUGCAAGCGUUAAUCGGAAUUACUGGGCGUAAAGCGUGCGCAGGCGGUUCGCUAAGACAGAUGUGAAAUCCCCGGGCUUAACCUGGGAACUGCAUUUGUGACUGGCGGGCUAGAGUAUGGCAGAGGGGGGUAGAAUUCCACGUGUAGCAGUGAAAUGCGUAGAGAUGUGGAGGAAUACCGAUGGCGAAGGCAGCCCCCUGGGCCAAUACUGACGCUCAUGCACGAAAGCGUGGGGAGCAAACAGGAUUAGAUACCCCAGUAGUCCCUGUCUCUUAUAC
This 301-nucleotide ribosomal RNA is filed under the name uncultured bacterium. RNAcentral's name for it is "partial 16S ribosomal RNA". It matches the Rfam family "Bacterial small subunit ribosomal RNA", at positions 509 to 807 of the family's 1533-position model. The record is from RNAcentral.